RNAcentral lists this transfer RNA (72 nucleotides) under Camelus bactrianus (Bactrian camel). It matches the Rfam family "tRNA". Rfam says of the family: Transfer RNA (tRNA) molecules are approximately 80 nucleotides in length. Their secondary structure includes four short double-helical elements and three loops (D, anti-codon, and T loops). Lineage: Eukaryota; Metazoa; Chordata; Mammalia; Artiodactyla; Camelidae. The record is from Rfam by way of RNAcentral. RNAcentral also lists the same sequence under 2 other names.
GAGGGUGUAGCUCAAGUGGUAGAGUAUAUACUUAGCACGCAUGAGGUCCUGGGUUCGAUCCCUAGUCCCUCU